AUAUGUUUUGUUGUUUCAUCGAAUAAAGAUGGUAAAAUUAGAGUUUGCGUUUUAUAUUUUAUUCUAGUCAAAUUUUAACGUUAUUUUAAAUGGUUUAUUUCGGUAAUCGUAAAUUUGCGUAAUUGAGAGUUAUCCGAACAUCAAAAAUGAAUGCCCACCGAUAGCCAUUCAACACAAAUUGGCGAAAACUUGCCUCGGCGAAAAAAUAGAGUCACCUCGCAGAUCGAAGAAGGAUGAAUACCUACUCGUAUAGUGUUCUAAUUUCGAUGGUACUACCGGCGAAAAAAUAGAGUCACCUCGCAGAUCGAAGAAGGAUGAAUACCUAUAGGUUCGUACUUCGUACACAAAAACAAAUGAUUUGUUUAUUUUGCAAAAAUGUAAGUGCGCCACCUACAUACGUCUUCUUUCAUUUUAUCUGGUAACUGGCAGCACUGAGUAAAAUAUAAUUAUCGUUGGUUACGUUGGCUCACAUGGCUCACAUCAGUUGGCUGUGCGUUGUGAUAUUUACAUCAUUUGGAAUUUUGGACUUUGAAGUUUGAAGCGUUCUUAUCAGUGACGUUUGAGGACUUUGUGCAACAGGCUUAUUAUAUGUAAGAGCUAAUUUUCCAUACAUUUUUUAUGCAAAUUGUGAAGACCGGUGAUGUCGCAAAAUAAUGAAAAUAUGGUUACGGAUUGUGAAGAGGCGAUGCCGCCAUGUGAUGAAAGCAUGGUAACGAUGAACUGCGAAGACACGAUGUUGCAAAAUGACGAAAAUAUGACACCUCGAAAUCUUCGAGUCUAUCCUAGAUACCGAAGAUUCGUCGAUAAAGAAGUGGACGCUUUUUCUGACAUCGAAGCAACUGAAAUUUUGAAACAAGUCAUACGAGAACCGCUCGAAUCCGGACGCGUGCAUGCAAGAUGCUGGGAGCCAUAUUGCGUCAUAAGGAAUUUGACGUUUUCCAAUAAUUCCAAAAAAGCGCACCAUAUUCAAGAGUUCCAUGGUGGUAAAACAAAUCUUCAAAUUUUCAAAUGCCAGAUAUGCUGCGAAUUCUUCUUCAAAACUCGUAAUUUGCAACACCACAAGCGGUCGAAAAAUCACUAAUAUUAGGUAGGUAUACAGGUACAAAAAGAGUAGACCAAUAAUUGUGAGAAAUAUUCUAGAUUGAUGUUUGAUAACAAUUUACGAGAUAUUUUAAUUCGUAACCUGUACUGUACAAUAGUGAUUGAUUUUGUUAAUUUUCAAUUUUUUUUGUUAAAUUUAAAGCAAACUCAUUUUUUUGUAAUUGAUAUUUUUUUUUUGGCCAACGCAAUUGAAUUAAAACUUUAUAUU
Molecule: RNA transcript, 1309 nt
Organism: Planococcus citri (citrus mealybug)
Lineage: Eukaryota; Metazoa; Arthropoda; Insecta; Hemiptera; Pseudococcidae
Exons: 4
Source: RefSeq, a predicted model, not a curated record